CAAUAGCGUAUAUUAAAGUUGUUGCAGUUAAAAAGCUCGUAGUUGGACCUUGGACCUGGACAGGCGGUCCGCCUCACGGCGUGUACUGUCUUGCUGGGUCUUUCCUCUUGGUGAUCUGUUGUUUCGGCAGCAGGGAACCAGGACUUUUACUUUGAAAAAAUUAGAGUGUUCAAAGCAGGCUCGACGCCGGAAUAUGUUAGCAUGGAAUAAUAAAAUAGGACGUGCGGUUCUAUUUUGUUGGUUUUUGGAAUCGCCGUAAUGAUUAAUAGGGACAGUCGGGGGCAUUAGUACUCACAUGCUAGAGGUGAAAUUCUUGGAUUUUGUGAAGACUAACUUCUGCGAAAGCAUUUGCCAAGGAUGUUUUCAUUAA
RNAcentral lists this ribosomal RNA (370 nucleotides) under uncultured eukaryote. RNAcentral's name for it is "partial 18S ribosomal RNA". It matches the Rfam family "Eukaryotic small subunit ribosomal RNA", at positions 592 to 976 of the family's 1831-position model. The record is from RNAcentral.